GACGAACGCUGGCGGCGUGCUUAACACAUGCAAGUCGAACGGAAAGGCCCUGCUUUUGUGGGGUGCUCGAGUGGCGAACGGGUGAGUAACACGUGAGUAACCUGCCCUUGACUUUGGGAUAACUUCAGGAAACUGGGGCUAAUACCGUAUAGGAGCUCCUGCUGCAUGGUGGGGGUUGGAAAGUUUCGGCGGUUGGGGAUGGACUCGCGGCUUAUCAGCUUGUUGGUGGGGUAGUGGCUUACCAAGGCUUUGACGGGUAGCCGGCCUGAGAGGGUGACCGGGCACAUUGGGACUGAGAUACGGACCAGACUCCUACGUGAGGCAGCAGUGGGGAAUAUUGCCCAAUGGGAGGAAGCCUGAUGAAGCAACGCCGCGUGCGGGAUGCCGGCCUUCGGGUUGUAAACCGCUUUCGCCUGUGACGAAGCGUGAGUGACGGUAAUGGGUAAAGAAGCACCGGCUAACUACGUG
RNAcentral lists this ribosomal RNA (468 nucleotides) under uncultured bacterium. RNAcentral's name for it is "partial 16S ribosomal RNA". It matches the Rfam family "Bacterial small subunit ribosomal RNA", at positions 28 to 507 of the family's 1533-position model. The record is from RNAcentral.